GAUGAACGCUGGCGGCGUGCCUAAUACAUGCAAGUCGAGCGAACAGACGAGGAGCUUGCUCCUCUGACGUUAGCGGCGGACGGGUGAGUAACACGUGGAUAACCUACCUAUAAGACUGGGAUAACUUCGGGAAACCGGAGCUAAUACCGGAUAAUAUAUUGAACCGCAUGGUUCAAUAGUGAAAGACGGUUUUGCUGUCACUUAUAGAUGGAUCCGCGCCGCAUUAGCUAGUUGGUAAGGUAACGGCUUACCAAGGCAACGAUGCGUAGCCGACCUGAGAGGGUGAUCGGCCACACUGGAACUGAGACACGGUCCAGACUCCUACGGGAAGCAGCAGUAGGGAAUCUUCCGCAAAGGGCGAAAGCCUGACGGAGCAACGCCGCGUGAGUGAUGAAGGUCUUCGGAUCGUAAAACUCUGUUAUUAGGGAAGAACAAAUGUGUAAGUAACUAUGCACGUCUUGACGGUACCUAAUCAGAAAGCCACGGCUAACUACGUG
This 497-nucleotide ribosomal RNA is filed under the name uncultured bacterium. RNAcentral's name for it is "partial 16S ribosomal RNA". It matches the Rfam family "Bacterial small subunit ribosomal RNA", at positions 28 to 507 of the family's 1533-position model. The record is from RNAcentral.